Neofelis nebulosa (Clouded leopard) is the source of this 196-nucleotide long non-coding RNA. RefSeq lists it as uncharacterized. The record is from RefSeq and is a predicted model, not a curated record. NCBI's taxonomy places the organism in Eukaryota, Metazoa, Chordata, Mammalia, Carnivora, Felidae. The transcript has 3 exons.
GUGAAUGAAUGGCUGUCAUCCAGAGAGAUAUAAAAUAUCAAGACCUCUGCUCAAAGACCACACUUGGACUGACAAUUUCAUCAUCCAGAAGACUACUGGAAAAAUGUGAAACUAUAAAUUGAGAAGUAAAGCACUCAAAAGAAGAGACAAAAGGAGGGAAGGAAAAGGAGGAGUUGAGGAGGGAAAGAGAGACAAA